UGGAAUUUCUGGGAUGGCAUUUCUAGGUAGUGUUACCCACACAUGAGGACAAUAUUAAAACACAAAAUUGGAUUCUAACCAUCCCCCUUUGUGCUGCAUAACAAGGAGAAAGGAGAAGUCCAACACACCCAUUUGAAAAAUGGGCAACCAAUAUCCUAAAUGCCUGCAUGUACUUGAUAAUUUCCAUUUGCACUACUGAGGAGAGAAGAAACUUUUUACUUGAGUUGAGUGACUUCAAUGUUCAAGAGAGAAGUCAGAUUCGGCAGUGACCAAUUAAGUGGGAUUUAAAGAUGCAUGCACUUCCUCAUAGAAAAAAAAUAGGGCCCCGGUGGGGUGAAGUUAAGAGAUAGACAGAGGUGUAUGGAGGAGGAAAUGAGAAACACUACAAAGACAAAAAGAGAUCUCUUCCUUGAUUAACAUCUCUCCUAGUUGACCCUUCAUUAUUUCUGGUCUUUUUCCACAUCCAGCCAAUAAGAUGACUCCCUGGGGAAGGACUUUCAUUAAUUUGUAACCAGAGCAAGUCCUUCCCAAGAGCCCUGAUCACACACCUCUUCCUUCAGACUAGUCUUUCUCCAACUUCAAACAUUGGCAUGUUUUCUUUCUGAUCUUUGGUUUCUCAAUUCGCCACCUAUAUUUUUUCCCCUGGUUACUAUUUAUUUAUACUGACUCACUUUUAAAACUUUUUAUGACAAAAAGAAAAAUGUGUCACUUGCAGUGAAUAGAAACUAGCCAGAAAAAGA
Canis lupus familiaris (dog) is the source of this 740-nucleotide long non-coding RNA. RefSeq lists it as uncharacterized. The transcript has 3 exons. The record is from RefSeq and is a predicted model, not a curated record. Lineage: Eukaryota; Metazoa; Chordata; Mammalia; Carnivora; Canidae.